This 197-nucleotide ribosomal RNA is filed under the name Escherichia coli. RNAcentral describes it as "partial 16S ribosomal RNA". It matches the Rfam family "Bacterial small subunit ribosomal RNA", at positions 1 to 205 of the family's 1533-position model. The record is from RNAcentral. Lineage: Bacteria; Pseudomonadati; Pseudomonadota; Gammaproteobacteria; Enterobacterales; Enterobacteriaceae.
AAAUUGAAGAGUUUGAUCAUGGCUCAGAUUGAACGCUGGCGGUAGGCCUAACACAUGCAAGUCGAACGGUAACAGGAAGCAGCUUGCUGCUUCGCUGACGAGUGGCGGACGGGUGAGUAAUGUCUGGGAAACUGCCUGAUGGAGGGGGAUAACUACUGGAAACGGUAGCUAAUACCGCAUAAUGUCGCAAGACCAAA